This 406-nucleotide ribosomal RNA is filed under the name uncultured bacterium. RNAcentral's name for it is "partial 16S ribosomal RNA". It matches the Rfam family "Bacterial small subunit ribosomal RNA", at positions 30 to 526 of the family's 1533-position model. The record is from RNAcentral.
AUUGAACGCUGGCGGCAGGCCUAACACAUGCAAGUCGAACGAGUGGCGGACGGGUGAGUAAUGUCUGGGAAACUGCCUGAUGGAGGGGGAUAACUACUGGAAACGGUAGCUAAUACCGCAUACAUUCAGAUGUGCCCAGAUGGGAUGGGCUUGUGGGGGGUGUAACGGCUCACCAGGGCGACGAACCCUAGCUGGUCUGAGAGGAUGACCAGCCACACUGGAACUGAGACACGGUCCAGACUCCUACGGGAGGCAGCAGUGGGGAAUAGUGCACAAUGGGCGCAAUCCUGAUGCAGCCCUGCCGCGUGUAUGAAGAGGGCCUUCGGGUUGUAAAGUCCUUUCAGCGGGGAGGCGUUACCCGCAGAAGAAGCACCCGCUAACUCCGUGCCAGCAGCCGCGGUAAUUC